AUUGAACGCUGGCGGAAUGCUUUACACAUGCAAGUCGAACGGUAGAGGGGGCAACCCCUCGAGAGUGGCGAACGGGUGAGUAAUAUAUCGGAACGUGCCCAGUCGUGGGGAUAACGUAGCGAAAGUUACGCUAAUACCGCAUACGAUCUAAGGAUGAAAGCGGGGGAUCGCAAGACCUCGCGCGAUUGGAGCGGCCGAUAUCAGAUUAGGUAGUUGGUGGGGUAAAGGCUCACCAAGCCAACGAUCUGUAGCUGGUCUGAGAGGACGACCAGCCACACUGGAACUGAGACACGGUCCAGACUCCUACGGGAGGCAGCAGUGGGGAAUUUUGGACAAUGGACGCAAGUCUGAUCCAGCCAUUCCGCGUGCAGGAUGAAGGCCCUCGGGUUGUAAACUGCUUUUGUACGGAACGAAAAGGUCUCUCUUAAUACGGGGGACUCAUGACGGUACCGUAAGAAUAAGCACCGGCUAACUACGUGCCAGCCGCCGUAAGAC
Molecule: ribosomal RNA, 495 nt
Filed under: uncultured bacterium
Lineage: Bacteria
Description: partial 16S ribosomal RNA
Rfam family: Bacterial small subunit ribosomal RNA
Source: RNAcentral